This 912-nucleotide ribosomal RNA is filed under the name uncultured bacterium. Its description in RNAcentral is "bacterial SSU rRNA". It matches the Rfam family "Bacterial small subunit ribosomal RNA", at positions 28 to 929 of the family's 1533-position model. The record is from RNAcentral.
AUUGAACGCUGGCGGCAUGCCUAACACAUGCAAGUCGAACGGAAACGAUGCUAGCUUGCUAGCAGGCGUCGAGUGGCGGACGGGUGAGUAAUGUAUAGGAACUUGCCUAGUAGUGGGGGACAACGUGUGGAAACGCACGCUAAUACCGCAUACGCUCUACGGAGGAAAGCGGGGGAUCUUUCGGGACCUCGUGCUACUAGAUAGGCCUAUAUUGGAUUAGCUAGUUGGUAAGGUAAAGGCUUACCAAGGCGACGAUCCAUAGCUGGUUUGAGAGAAUGAUCAGCCACACUGGGACUGAGACACGGCCCAGACUCCUACGGGAGGCAGCAGUGGGGAAUAUUGCACAAUGGAGGCAACUCUGAUGCAGCAAUGCCGCGUGUGUGAAGAAGGCCUUAGGGUUGUAAAGCACUUUCAGACGUGAGGAAAAGUAGACUAUUAAUACUAAUUUGCCCUGACGUUAACGUCAGAAGAAGCACCGGCUAACUCCGUGCCAGCAGCCGCGGUAAUACGGAGGGUGCAAGCGUUAAUCGGAAUUACUGGGCGUAAAGCGCGCGUAGGCGGUUAAAUAAGUCAGAUGUGAAAUCCCUGGGCUCAACCUAGGAACUGCAUUUGAAACUAUUUGGCUAGAGUAUGGUAGAGGUGAGUGGAAUUUCAGGUGUAGCGGUGAAAUGCGUAGAGAUCUGAAGGAACAUCAGUGGCGAAGGCGACUCACUGGGCCAUUACUGACGCUGAGGUGCGAAAGCGUGGGUAGCAAACAGGAUUAGAUACCCUGGUAGUCCACGCCCUAAACGAUGUCAACUAGGUGUGUGAAAGUAUAUCUUUUGCGUAUCGAAGCUAACGCGAUAAGUUGACCGCCUGGGGAGUACGGCCGCAAGGCUAAAACUCAAAUGAAUUGACGGGGGCCCGCACAAG